UAACCUGCCUUGGAGUGGGGAAUAACAGCUGGAAACAGCUGCUAAUACCGCAUAAUGCAGUUGGGUCGCAUGGCUCUGACUGCCAAAGAUUUAUCGCUCUGAGAUGGACUCGCGUCUGAUUAGCUAGUUGGUGGGGCAACGGCCCACCAAGGCGACGAUCAGUAGCCGGCCUGAGAGGGUGGCCGGCCACACUGGGACUGAGACACGGCCCAGACUCCUACGGGAGGCAGCAG
RNAcentral lists this ribosomal RNA (233 nucleotides) under uncultured bacterium. RNAcentral describes it as "partial 16S ribosomal RNA". It matches the Rfam family "Bacterial small subunit ribosomal RNA", at positions 122 to 354 of the family's 1533-position model. The record is from RNAcentral.